RNAcentral lists this ribosomal RNA (253 nucleotides) under uncultured bacterium. RNAcentral describes it as "partial 16S ribosomal RNA". It matches the Rfam family "Bacterial small subunit ribosomal RNA", at positions 524 to 776 of the family's 1533-position model. The record is from RNAcentral.
UACAGAGGGUGCAAGCGUUAAUCGGAAUUACUGGGCGUAAAGCGCGCGUAGGCGGCUGUCUAAGUCGGGUGUGAAAGCCCCGGGCUCAACCUGGGAACUGCAUUCGAUACUGGACGGCUAGAGUAUGAGAGAGGGAGGUAGAAUUCCACGUGUAGCGGUGAAAUGCGUAGAUAUGUGGAGGAAUACCGGUGGCGAAGGCGGGUCUCUGGGCCGAUACUGACGCUGAGGAGCGAAAGCGUGGGGAGCGAACAGG